AGGAGGAGCCUGCAUCUGAUUAGCUAGUUGUGGGGUAAGAGCUUACCAAGGCGAUGAUCAGUAACUGGUCUGAGAGGACGACCAGUCACACUGGGACUGAGACACGGCCCAGACUCCUACGGGAGGCAGCAGUGGGGAAUAUUGGACAAUGGGGGCAACCCUGAUCCAGCGAUGCCGCGUGAGUGAAGAAGGCCUUCGGGUCGUAAAGCUCUUUAGGUUGGGAAGAAGAGUAUGGGAGGAAUAUGCCUGUACUUUGACGGUACCGACAGAAUAAGCACCGGCAAAUUCUGUGC
RNAcentral lists this ribosomal RNA (293 nucleotides) under uncultured Rickettsiella sp. RNAcentral's name for it is "partial 16S ribosomal RNA". It matches the Rfam family "Bacterial small subunit ribosomal RNA", at positions 222 to 508 of the family's 1533-position model. Lineage: Bacteria; Pseudomonadati; Pseudomonadota; Gammaproteobacteria; Legionellales; Coxiellaceae. The record is from RNAcentral.